GAUGAACGCUGGCGGCGUGCUUAACACAUGCAAGUCGAACGGAAAGGCUCCUGCUUGCAGGGGUACUCGAGUGGCGAACGGGUGAGUAACACGUGGGUGAUCUGCCCUGCACUUCGGGAUAAGCCUGGGAAACUGGGUCUAAUACCGGAUAGGACCACAUUUUGGAUGGUGUGGUGGAAAGUUUUUCGGUGUGGGAUGAGCUCGCGGCCUAUCAGCUUGUUGGUGGGGUAAUGGCCUACCAAGGCGUCGACGGGUAGCCGGCCUGAGAGGGUGUACGGCCACAUUGGGACUGAGAUACGGCCCAGACUCCUACGGGAGGCAGCAGUGGGGAAUAUUGCACAAUGGGCGCAAGCCUGAUGCAGCGACGCCGCGUGGGGGAUGACGGCCUUCGGGUUGUAAACUCCUUUCGCUAGGGACGAAGCGCAAGUGACGGUACCUGGAGAAGGAGCACCGGCUAACUACGUG
RNAcentral lists this ribosomal RNA (465 nucleotides) under uncultured bacterium. RNAcentral's name for it is "partial 16S ribosomal RNA". It matches the Rfam family "Bacterial small subunit ribosomal RNA", at positions 28 to 507 of the family's 1533-position model. The record is from RNAcentral.